UACUCGCUCAGGUUCAGUCUCCGGCGAAGACCUCGUGGCACGCAUAUUAUAUCGUCGUCAGUCAUUUCGCGGCACCGGUUAGCGGUACUACGGUCGUACUCGUGUGUGUACGUGCGUUAUUGUGUUUACAACUGGUAACCCGCGUCUUAACGGCGACCUGACUACGUGAAUUAUCGUUAUUUUACUCGAUUUUAGGAUUUUAUUUCCACCUACACCGUCGAACGAUAUCGCGACGAAUCUGCUGUGUAACUAUACACCACGCAGCGGCCAUCGAGGACCGUCCACUGGCCACCGUAGAAUAGGAGCUGAACAACAAUUUGAAAGACACUGAAUAAAAAAAAAUACAAACGCAUCAUCACAUAGGAUGAGGUUUCGAUCGUCGGUUUAACACGCAGCGGACUGCAGAGAGCGAGGCUGAGACGCGUCGUCGUGCCCUGGUCCAUCAGAACGCCGCCGCAAAGCCGGACAGCCACGCGCCGAAGCGAUGGGCAACUCGAACAGUCACGGCAGCAGCACAUCGUACGCGACAGGCGGCGACACGAUACCGCCGCACUCGUGGGCGUACUCAUUUCCGCGGUCACAGUACUUCAGGCAACCGAUCACCGGGCCUAAAGUACUGCCAGCGCACUUGCCGGGCCAACAACGGCCGCGGCUCAGGGCCACCGAAAACGGGUCCAUGCUGCACGUGGCAGGCACCAUAAACGGUAAACGGCCGUACGAUUAUUCGCACCGGGACGACAUCCAACAUGGAUAUGGAUACGAUAUUCAAAGACACGUACCUAGGGAUGGAAGACGAGAUCGUAUGGGGUACAAUAUGUAUACCAGCGAACCAGACUUACGGUUUUCAGACUCCCGCCAACUACCACCAAUGGGUUACAAUCAUCAUCACAAUCACGGAGACAAUGGAGCUGUCAAGGGCAGGAUGUCCCGUUCUAAAAAGAAGUACAGAGCUCCUCAAGUGCCUCCAUCUUCGUCGCAUCAUAAUGGAAUGGACAGCUCUUCGCCUGACUCGUAUCAACAUUGGGAAAACCACAGGGAUAAUAGUAGAUCUAGUCAAAACAAUGGUAUGCCAAGAUUGAGGUUAUUUAAGACUAGAGCUGAGACAAAACAUAAGCUCAGUAGAGACGAAUUAAAAAACGCAGAGUUUCAGCCUGAAGUUAAACCACAACCUAGCAAUCUACAUCGAAGCAUGUCUUCCCCUCAAUUUCAAGCUGAAUUGAAACGUGUGACAGAAAGGCUGAGAGAAAAAGAAUUCCGUCAUCCGCCCGUUGGCCGCGCUUCGGAGAGCUCGUCCAAUCAGGCCUCCGAGGAACGGGCAGCGGUUGUGGUCGCUGACAGUGACAAAAACCGCGAGAGCCCGGUGAACUCGAACAGACAACGAUUAAUGGCCGACCGGGCCAAACGGAUGUCCAGGUCGAUACCGAAUCUCGCUACAAAAGUACAAGAAGACGAUGACGUCCGAUGCACGGGCGAGGGUUCGUCAGCCACGGGUUCCAACGACGAGAACAAGAUCCAUGAUAAGAAAGCAAAUCCGAAAACAAGCGUGCCAGAUAUUAAGCCGAAAACAUUCUAUUUCGGUAUGAACGAGUUCAACGAUACGACAAAGACCAGUAGAACCUCUGAAGACGUUGAUCGAUUCGCUGAGAGCUUUAAUAAAACGAACGCUUCGCCUUCUGAUAGCAUUGCUAGCAGUGACCCAACAGACGAGAGUGGUGGUGACAUAUCUCUUCAACUAAGACCUACACUUCCAAGAAAACAGUUUGACAUCCCUAGAUUUAGUCCAACAGCUGCUUGGCGCUUGCUUACUGCUUUAGAAAGUCCUUCACCAGUUAGUCCUAAUUGUAGCGGUGGAGAGGAAGAUUUAAUACCAAUUAUAGAUCAACCUCAUAAUUCCGGUGAUAAAUCUGGAGAUAGUGGUAUUUCUGGAGAUGCUAGUCCUAAUUCAGCCCAUAAUUCACAGGUUGCUUGGACUCCACAGCAAGACUUAGAAGAAACAAGUUCAGAUGGAGGAUUGGAGGAUUCAGCACCAGUUUCACCUCAAAGUUUGGAUACCACACAAUUUUCAAGAACUCGUACAGUCGCUAAGCCAAGUUUCUGUCUAUCCCUACCCAGAGAUGAAAGUACAGGAAUUGAUAAAAGAUAUGGACAAUUAAAUGAAGAUUUUUCACCAAUGAACCCACCCAAAUCUAGUGGUUACUUCAAAUCUAAAUUAAAUAGAGGAAAAGCAUCGACAGAUAGAAACAAAUCACAGCUGGAUGAAAACUGGGUAUUGAGUAGAAGUGUACCAGAUUCAUUGCAUCAAUCAGGUUUAGUUGGCAAUUUUCCAUCACAAAACUGGAGUCAGUUAGAAUGUCAAAAUGGAGAUGAACCUUCUGAUGAAGAAUUAGCUAUGUCAUCUUUACCAAAGUUUUCAUAUUUAGCUGCAGGCAGACGAGCUAUGUAUUUGCCAGAAUAUAAAUCAUUGAACUAUUUAUAUCAAAAGGAUAUAAAAAAUGUGCCUGAAAAUAAAGCCAUUGUAUCAAAGUCAUGUGAGGACCUCACAAGAGACGACCUGGAUGAUGAAGAGUUACCAGUCAUAAAUGAAAGAACAAAACAACAAAAAUCAACGAGUAAAAAGUUUGCAUUUCAAAGUACAAUAAGACAAAUUGAACGAAAGAAAAUAGCUGAAAAAUUAUCAAAAGAAGCAGAGUACAAAGAACGCCAGAGACUCAGUGAAAUGGAGGCUAUGCGUCGAGUGGAAGAAGAGUUUCAACGAAAACGAGAAAGAGAAAAAGCAGAUAUUCGACAACAGUUGAGACUGUACACUUUAACACAAGGUGAUAGAGAACCAGCACAACCUCUCCCUUCUGGUACUCAAGUACUCUCUGAAUUUCGGGAGUCAAGGCGCGACUACAAAGAUUUUAAUUCUUCCAGAGUUGAACAUGAACCCAAUAAUCGUUCAGAAACUCCAGUAAAAAAAUCAACAACUGUGCAUCCAAAAGUUGUAUAUCAAAUGCCCAAAAGUACUCCGGUGUAUGUGACACCAAAUACUGUACGUAAGCAAUGCAAUGGAACUGAAAAAGGAUCAUCAACACCAACAUCUGGUAACUACAGAAGAGACUUUGCUCAAGGGGCCCUACCACAUUCUGUGGCAAGUUCAGACUCAGAAGUGUCUGUGUCGAUUACUCGACCAACUUCACGUACAAAGCACAGAAGCAGGUUUUAGCAAGUAUAUGGAGCUCGGGAUUAAGUGUGUAUUCUAGUCAACAAAUAUUCAAGUCACCAUUUAACCAAUAUAGAUCAGCCAGUCCAAUAUCUGACCGAGAAAACAAUGACAUUGGAAUAAAUCUUGAUUAUAUACAUAUCAUAAAAAGCUUAAAGCAAAAACAAAAUAACGAAACAGAAUUAAAUGAAGUUACCAAU
RNAcentral lists this unclassified non-coding RNA (3402 nucleotides) under Acyrthosiphon pisum (pea aphid). RNAcentral's name for it is "uncharacterized LOC100166088, transcript variant X1". Lineage: Eukaryota; Metazoa; Arthropoda; Insecta; Hemiptera; Aphididae. The record is from RNAcentral.